CGCCUCCAGAAGUUGUGGUGCACCUCCAGGACGUGCGCCUCGAGCCCGAGAGGCAUGCUGAGGCCAGGCCACCGGCAGGAUGAGUGUGAACGAGGCAGGCAGCUCCGGCCGCGGGGGGCAGGCAGCCUACCACCUGCACAUCUACCCGCAGCUGGCCACCAGCGAGAGCCGGGCCUCGUGCUGCGUGACCGCCACCAAGGACAGCACCACUUCCGAUGUCAUCCAGGAUGCCAUCGCCAGCCUGCAGCUGGAUGGCACCAAGUGCUACGUGCUGGUGGAGGUGAAGGAGACGGGUGGGGAGGAGUGGGUGCUGGAUGCCAACGACUCGCCUGUGCACCGCGUGCUGCUGUGGCCCCGGCGGGCCCAAGACGAGCACCCGCAGGAGGACGGCUAUUAUUUCCUGCUGCAGGAGCGCAAUGCGGAUGGCACCAUCAAGUACGUGCACAUGCAGCUGGUGUCCCAGGCCACGGCCACCCGGCGCCUGGUGGAGCGCGGCCUCCUGCCCCGGCAGCAGGCAGACUUUGACGAUCUGUGCAACCUCCCCGAGCUGACCGAGGAGAACCUCCUCAAGAACCUCAAGCACCGCUUCCUGCAGCAGAAGAUCUACACAUACGCCGGGAGCAUCCUGGUGGCUGUCAAUCCCUUCAAGUUCCUCCCCAUCUACAACCCCAAGUACGUGAAGAUGUACGAGAACCAGCAGCUGGGCAAGCUGGAGCCGCACGUGUUCGCGCUGGCCGACGUGGCCUACUACGCCAUGCUCCGAAAGCGGGUCAAUCAGUGCAUCGUGAUCUCGGGUGAGAGCGGCUCGGGCAAGACGCAGAGCACCAACUUCCUGAUCCACUGCCUCACCGCACUGAGCCAGAAGGGCUACGCCAGUGGUGUCGAGAGGACCAUCCUGGGCGCCGGCCCCGUGCUGGAGGUGAGCUGGGCUGUCGGCGGGAGGGGCCCUCUGCCUUAA
Non-coding RNA from Leptonychotes weddellii (Weddell seal), 958 nucleotides. The record is from RefSeq and is a predicted model, not a curated record. Lineage: Eukaryota; Metazoa; Chordata; Mammalia; Carnivora; Phocidae.